GACGAACGCUGGCGGCGUGCUUAACACAUGCAAGUCGAACGGAAAGGCCCUGCUUUUGUGUGGUGCUCGAGUGGCGAACGGGUGAGUAACACGUGAGUAACCUGCCCUUGACUUUGGGAUAACUGCAGGAAACUGGGGCUAAUACCGGAUAGGAGCUCCUGCUGCAUGGUGGGGGUUGGAAAGUUUCGGCGGUUGGGGAUGGACUCGCGGCUUAUCAGCUUGUUGGUGGGGUAGUUGCUUACCAAGGCUUUGACGGGUAGCCGGCCUGAGAGGGUGAACGGCCACAUUGGGACUGAGGUACGGCCCAGACUGCUACGGGGGGCAGCAGGGGAGAAUAUUGCACAAUGGGGCGAAGCCUGAUGAGGCAACGCCGGGUGCGGGAUGACGGCCUUCGGGUUGUAAACCGCUUUCACCUGUGACGAAGCGUGAGUGACGGUAAUAGGUAAAGAAGCACCGGCUAACUACGUG
This 468-nucleotide ribosomal RNA is filed under the name uncultured bacterium. RNAcentral describes it as "partial 16S ribosomal RNA". It matches the Rfam family "Bacterial small subunit ribosomal RNA", at positions 28 to 507 of the family's 1533-position model. The record is from RNAcentral.